RNAcentral lists this ribosomal RNA (253 nucleotides) under uncultured bacterium. Its description in RNAcentral is "partial 16S ribosomal RNA". It matches the Rfam family "Bacterial small subunit ribosomal RNA", at positions 524 to 775 of the family's 1533-position model. The record is from RNAcentral.
UACGUAGGGGGCGAGCGUUGUCCGGAUUCAUUGGGCGUAAAGAGCUCGUAGGCGGCUUGGCAAGUCGGGUGUGAAACCUCCAGGCUUAACCUGGAGACGCCACCCGAUACUGCCAUGGCUAGAGUCCGGUAGGGGACCACGGAAUUCCUGGUGUAGCGGUGAAAUGCGCAGAUAUCAGGAGGAACACCGGUGGCGAAGGCGGUGGUCUGGGCCGGCACUGACGCUGAGGAGCGAAAGCGUGGGGAGCGAACAG